UGGGGAAUAUUGCACAAUGGGCGAAAGCCUGAUGCAGCAACGCCGCGUGAGGGACGACGGCCUUCGGGUUGUAAACCUCUUUUAGCAAGGAAGAAGCGAAAGUGACGGUACUUGCAGAAAAAGCGCCGGCUAACUACGUGCCAGCAGCCGCGGUAAUACGUAGGGCGCAAGCGUUAUCCGGAAUUUAUUGGGCGUAAAGAGCUCGUAGGCGGUUUGUCGCGUCUGCUGUGAAAACCCCGAGGCUCAACCUCGGGCCUGCAGUGGGUACGGGCAGACUAGAGUGCGGUAGGGGAGAUUGGAACUCCUGGUGUAGCGGUGGAAUGCGCAGAUAUCAGGAAGAACACCGAUGGCGAAGGCAGAUCUCUGGGCCCGUAACUGACGCUGAGGAGCG
Molecule: ribosomal RNA, 391 nt
Filed under: uncultured bacterium
Lineage: Bacteria
Description: partial 16S ribosomal RNA
Rfam family: Bacterial small subunit ribosomal RNA
Source: RNAcentral